This 492-nucleotide ribosomal RNA is filed under the name uncultured bacterium. RNAcentral describes it as "partial 16S ribosomal RNA". It matches the Rfam family "Bacterial small subunit ribosomal RNA", at positions 29 to 507 of the family's 1533-position model. The record is from RNAcentral.
AGUGAACGCUGGCGGCAUGCCUAACACAUGCAAGUCGAACGGCAGCACAGUAAGAUCUCGCCCUUACGGGUAGCGAGGGGCGGACGGGUGAGGCAUACAUCGCAUUCCACUUUGACGGGGGGGACAACGGGGGGCAGCAGAUGAUAACACCGCAUGCGAUGUACCGGAGAGAGCAGGGGAGAAUCGCGGUUUGCGCGUCUCAAUGAGCCGAAGUCGGAUUAGCUAGUUGGCGGGGUAAAGGCCCACCAAGGCAACGAUACGUAGCUGGUCUGAGAGGAUGAUCAGCCACACUGGAACUGAGACACGGUCCAGACUCCUACGGGAGGCAGCAGUGGGGAAUAUUGGACAAUGGGCGCAAGCCUGACCCAGCCAUGCCGCGUGAGUGAAGAAGGCCUUCGGAUCGUAAAGCCCUUUUAUUGGGGAAGAACAGCUGCGGAUUAAUCCCCCGCUGUUCUGACGGUACCCAAUGAGUAAGCACCGGCUAACUUCGUG